RNAcentral lists this long non-coding RNA (203 nucleotides) under Elaeis guineensis (African oil palm). RNAcentral's name for it is "long non-coding RNA (EGUI_LNC023465)". The record is from RNAcentral. Lineage: Eukaryota; Viridiplantae; Streptophyta; Magnoliopsida; Arecales; Arecaceae.
CCGUAUCUUUUUGUCCAUCUAACUUAUAUUUUUUAAAAAUACGUUCAAAUUAAAUUAGAUACUGGCUUUUAAUCUUUAAGCUACAGAAAGAAAAAAAAUAUCUAUAAAUUUUUUUUUUAUAAAAUUCGGACUAGAUAGUUUUGUUGAUACUGACUAUGCUUAAAUACACAAUCUCAUUCAUAAAUUUCAAAGAAUUUUAAUUU